CUGGAGCCCCUUCAGCCGGAGCUUCACGUCCCUCUACCGCCUCAAGACCCUCUCCUUCUCCCACUUCAUGCGGCUCGUGGUCGACCGCAGUCGCGGAUCCGCGGAGGAGCUCAUCUUUCCCUUGUCCUUCGGCGCAUCCAUCCAAGACCUGGUCUACGUCUCCAUCAAGUGAGUGCAAGUAUGGUCCCUCUUUCUCCUUCUGCCCUCGUCGUCACCCAUGUCCGCCGUGUUCAAUGAACAUCCUCUUCCCCUUCCUCCAAAUUCUCAGAUGCCCACGGUUAAAGUCUCUUGCUUUGCCUGAUAACUUGAUGGUAGAGGAUGAUCUCCGCAUCCCGGAUCUCGUCGGAAGUUGGAGAGAUCUGGAGCAGCUCGAGAUGGAGACCAAACCCUCCUCGUUCCUGCGAGUGAUCGCCGAGAUCGGCCGCGACUGUCCCAAAUUCUCCCGGCUCAAGGUGCGCGGUCUGAUCGACAAGGAAGACGCCAAGGCCAUCGUGGAUCGUCUGCCGCAGCUGAAGCACUUGGAGCUCAGCA
This 531-nucleotide long non-coding RNA is filed under the name Musa acuminata (dwarf banana). Its description in RNAcentral is "long non-coding RNA (MACU_LNC000789)". The record is from RNAcentral. Lineage: Eukaryota; Viridiplantae; Streptophyta; Magnoliopsida; Zingiberales; Musaceae.